CAGUCGCCGCGGUAAUACGUAGGGUGCAAGCGUUAAUCGGAAUUACUGGGCGUAAAGCGUGCGCAGGCGGUUAUAUAAGUCAGAUGUGAAAUCCCCGGGCUCAACCUGGGAACUGCAUUUGAGACUGUAUGGCUAGAGUGUGUCAGAGGGGGGUAGAAUUCCAGGUGUAGCGGUGAAAUGCGUAGAGAUCGGAAGGAACAUCUGUGGCGAAGGCGACUAUCUGGGCCAACACUGACACUGAGGCACGAAAGCGUGGGGAGCAAACAGGAUUAGAUACCCCUGUAGUCCCUGUCUCUUAUAC
This 301-nucleotide ribosomal RNA is filed under the name uncultured bacterium. RNAcentral describes it as "partial 16S ribosomal RNA". It matches the Rfam family "Bacterial small subunit ribosomal RNA", at positions 509 to 807 of the family's 1533-position model. The record is from RNAcentral.